RNAcentral lists this unclassified non-coding RNA (515 nucleotides) under Melitaea cinxia (Glanville fritillary). Its description in RNAcentral is "misc RNA ENSMCXG00005012124.1". The record is from RNAcentral. Lineage: Eukaryota; Metazoa; Arthropoda; Insecta; Lepidoptera; Nymphalidae.
CACAAAACUCGGCUCCUUCAAGUAAACACACGCGCUCACGCACACAUAUGCAUCAAACUACGCUCAUUUUCGUCAGUAUCUCACGGGGCCUCGUACAGUAACUUUGCCUAUAAAAUGCCGUUCUUUUGUAAUUAAAUGGUGCAAAAACAAUACCAAAGUGAACAAAAAGUCUGAAGAAAUAUCGUUUCACACGACCUACCGGAUGAGUCUAAAAUCAGUCGUUAACCAAGAUUCAAUCUUUGAUACACCUAGAAAAAAUAAACUAAGAGAAAAGUUAAAAAAACAGGAACUUUAUUUAAAAAAAAAAUGUUAAAAAAAAUUAAAUCAUUACAGCAAAGAGUUAGAUGUCUUUGAAACAGGAACUUGCCCUUCAGAGGAAUCAUCAAUUACUUAAAAACGCAAUUUUCAUUGAUUAGACACAGAUUUAUACAAUUCAUUAAAUCAAAACUUGGCUGCAAUAGAUUUAUUUAACAAUUUGAAGCAAAAAAAAGGAGUAAAUAUAUUUAAAACGAUAA